AACGAACGCUGGCGGCAGGCCUAACACAUGCAAGUCGAACGCCCUCUUCGGAGGGAGUGGCGCACGGGUGAGUAACGCGUGGGAAUCUGCCCUUUGGGUUCGGAAUAACCCUGGGAAACUAGGGCUAACGCCGGAUAAGCCCGAGAGGGGAAAGUUUACGCCGAAGGAGGAGCCCGCGUCCGAUUAGCUAGUUGGUGAGGUAAGAGCUUACCAAGGCGACGAUCGGUAGCUGGUCUGAGAGGACGAUCAGCCACACUGGGACUGAGACACGGCCCAGACUCCUACGGGAGGCAGCAGUGGGGAAUAUUGGACAAUGGGCGCAAGCCUGAUCCAGCCAUGCCGCGUGAGUGAUGAAGGCCCUUCGGGUUGUAAAGGUCUCUUUUGGCGGGGUACUGGAUGGAUGACGGCUGACCCCCGGCAAGAAAUUAAGGCCCCCGGNAAAACUUCGUGCCAGCAGCCGCGUAAGACGAAGGGGGCAAGCGUUGUUCGGAAUUACUGGGCGUAAAGGGCGCGUAGGCGGCGCAUUAAGUCAGGCGUGAAAGCCCUGGGCUCAACCUGGGAAUGGCGCUUGAUACUGGUGUGCUAGAGAGCGGGAGAGGAUGGUGGAAUUCCCCAGUGUAGAGGUGAAAAUUCGUAGAUAUUGGGAAGAACACCGGUGGCGAAGGCGGCCAUCUGGACCGUAUCUGACGCUGAGGCGCGAAAGCGUGGGGAGCAAACAGGAUUAGAUA
This 728-nucleotide ribosomal RNA is filed under the name uncultured bacterium. Its description in RNAcentral is "bacterial SSU rRNA". It matches the Rfam family "Bacterial small subunit ribosomal RNA", at positions 28 to 784 of the family's 1533-position model. The record is from RNAcentral.